AUUGCCCUAGUAACGGCGAGUGAAGCGGCAACAGCUCAAAUUUGAAAUCUGGCUCUCUUUGGGGGUCCGAGUUGUAAUUUGCAGAGGAUGCUUUGGCAUUGGCGGCGGUCUAAGUUCCUUGGAACAGGACAUCGCAGAGGGUGAGAAUCCCGUACGUGGGCGCCUGCCUUUGCCGUGUAAAGCUCCUUCGACGAGUCGAGUUGUUUGGGAAUGCAGCUCUAAAUGGGAGGUAAAUUUCUUCUAAAGCUAAAUACCGGCCAGAGACCGAUAGCGCACAAGUAGAGUGAUCGAAAGAUGAAAAGUACUUUGGAAAGAGAGUCAAAAAGCACGUGAAAUUGUUGAAAGGGAAGCGCUUGCAGCCAGACUUGCCCGCAGUUGCUCACCUAGGCUUUGGCCUGGGGCACUCUUCUGCGGGCAGGCCAGCAUCAGUUUGGGCGGUUGGAUAAAGGCCUCUGUCACGUAUCUUCCUUCGGGAUGACCUUAUAGGGGAGGCGUAAUGCAACCAGCCCGGACUGAGGUCCGCGCAUCUGCUAGGAUGCUGGCGUAAUGGCUGUAAGCGGCCCGUCUUGAAACACGGACCAAGGAGUCUAACAUCUAUGCGAGUGUUUGGGUGUCAAGCCCGGGCGCGCAAUGAAAGUGAACGGAGGUGGGAACCCUUUGGGUGCACCAUCGACCGAUCCUGAUGUCUUCGGAUGGAUUUGAGUAAGAGCAUAGCUGUUGGGACCCGAAAGAUGGUGAACUAUGCUUGAAUAGGGUGAAGCCAGAGGAAACUCUGGUGGAGGCUCGCAGCGGUUCUGACGUGCAAAUCGAUCGUCAAAUUUGGGCAUAGGGGCGAAAGACUAAUCGAACCAUCUAGUAGCUGGGUUCCUGCCGAGU
RNAcentral lists this ribosomal RNA (876 nucleotides) under Pseudocamarosporium propinquum. RNAcentral describes it as "partial 28S ribosomal RNA". It matches the Rfam family "Eukaryotic large subunit ribosomal RNA", at positions 74 to 966 of the family's 3401-position model. Lineage: Eukaryota; Fungi; Ascomycota; Dothideomycetes; Pleosporales; Didymosphaeriaceae. The record is from RNAcentral.